Molecule: transfer RNA, 77 nt
Filed under: Candidatus Borkfalkia sp.
Lineage: Bacteria; Bacillati; Bacillota; Clostridia; Christensenellales; Christensenellaceae
Also listed under: 4 other names
Description: tRNA-Val
Rfam family: tRNA
About the family: Transfer RNA (tRNA) molecules are approximately 80 nucleotides in length. Their secondary structure includes four short double-helical elements and three loops (D, anti-codon, and T loops). Further hydrogen bonds mediate the characteristic L-shaped molecular structure. tRNAs have two regions of fundamental functional importance: the anti-codon, which is responsible for specific mRNA codon recognition, and the 3' end, to which the tRNAs corresponding amino acid is attached (by aminoacyl-tRNA synthetases). tRNAs cope with the degeneracy of the genetic code in two manners: having more than one tRNA (with a specific anti-codon) for a particular amino acid; and 'wobble' base-pairing, i.e. permitting non-standard base-pairing at the 3rd anti-codon position.
Source: RNAcentral
GGGGGCGUAGCUCAGUUGGUUAGAGCGCAUGCUUGACAUGCAUGAGGUCAUAAGUUCGAGUCUUACCGUCCCCACCA